RNAcentral lists this long non-coding RNA (1092 nucleotides) under Gallus gallus (chicken). RNAcentral's name for it is "lncRNA (ENSGALG00010023105.1)". The record is from RNAcentral. Lineage: Eukaryota; Metazoa; Chordata; Aves; Galliformes; Phasianidae.
AUCUCUCAGGAGAUUCCUACCUACUGGAGGUCUUUCAAAGGUGCUUACAACCAGUGUCCAAGAUAGUACGUAAUAGCUUUGGGAUGAGACUGCCUAUUAAUCAUGCUUUUCACAAAGUCUUCGAAUAAUGCUCAUGGCAGUUAUCAGAACCGUCUCCAGUUUUUCAGCACCACUUCAACGGGAUCGUUGAAAAGGGACAGUGCUGACGUGUUGAUACCAAUGUAGCAACUCUGGGAAGGAUUUUUUUAAGGACUACUGUGAGAUGGGAGGAAAUCCACUGAAGUAGUGUGCAGUGAAGACACUGUGGCUCUGUUGACUUUAUGCCUCCAUUUGGGUGGUCUGGGAAACUUGGCAUGGGUACAAAAGGGAGUACAUCAGUAGUGGUUUUGUCAGAUGUACCUUUCUCAACAAAUUUGUCCCUUACGACAGUAAACCAGGAAACUGGGAAUGGGGGCUGUUAGCUGAAAAACUGUUAUCACUGCAACCUCAUUUGUUUUCUUUAGUAUACCCUCCUGAUAUAUUCAGCAUUCAGAGCUGCCUUCCAGUCAGUCAGCCACUGUUAGUCCAGCUCCUGGUUGACAAGUGCUUAAAAAAAGUCAACUAACCAAUAAAAUCCUCAGCCAAGCUCCAAAUGAGCAUCUGGCACUGGUUGUUCAGAUGUGCCUGUGAACAACAGCAAGCUAUGGGAAAGACAAGCUAGUAUUCAGACAUUAUUUUUUGGCAAUGGGAUUUGCUGUAUUAUUUCUCUGCUGUGCUAGCUGAAAGGGUCUGCCUUUUGCUUUUUAACCUCAUUCUUUCAAUGCCAGAAUGGUGGACAUAUAACACAAGUUAAAACAAGAGCUCUUAAAUGAUGUGGUGAUUUCUUUCAUCCUGUUUAGUAAGCAACCUUGGUAGUGCUAUUUCAUAUAAAGCAGUACGAAACGCACAAGAUCAGAAAAUGCAAUAAUUCCAGCAAUGACACAAAGAAUGAUCUGCUUUGUCGUCUCACUGGCUAUCAAUGUGGUGAAUAUGUCAUUCUGCAGUAUCUAGUUCAUUAUUUUCUGUUGUUUCUUUGAGCAUGUUUUUAACUAACAUUAAGCAAAAUGUACAUUG